RNAcentral lists this unclassified non-coding RNA (332 nucleotides) under soil metagenome. RNAcentral describes it as "partial contains 5.8S ribosomal RNA, internal transcribed spacer 2, and large subunit ribosomal RNA". The stretch from base 1 to 120 matches the Rfam family "5.8S ribosomal RNA", at positions 35 to 154 of the family's 154-position model. The record is from RNAcentral.
GAUGAAGAACGUAGCGAAAUGCGAUAAGUAAUAUGAAUUGCAGAAUUCAGUGAAUCAUCGAAUCUUUGAACGCACAUUGCGCCCGCCAGUAUUCUGGCGGGCAUGCCUGUCCGAGCGUCAUUUCAACCAUCAAGCCCCGGGCUUGUGUUGGGGACCUGCGUCCGACGCAGGCCCUGAAAACCAGUGGCGGGCUCGCUGUCCACACCGAGCGUAGUAACUAACCUCGCUAUGGAGUGGCGCGGGCGCCUGCCGUAAAACCCCCAAUUUCACAAGGUUGACCUCGGAUCAGGUAGGAAUACCCGCUGAACUUAAGCAUAUCAAUAAGCGGAGGA